CAACAGCAACCUCCAUGGCAGAGGUAGCCAUGGCAAGAGGACAGCAGGCCAGGGCUCCACCUGUGCAGCCCACCUCAAUGGAAGCUCAAUGGAAGCAGGCCUCAGUUCAUCUCUAGUGUUCUGCUAGGUGCUGGGCUUGGGAAUGGCUAUGGCUCAGUUUGGAAUCUUGGCAGCAAAAGUCUUGAAUCUUUCCAUCCCAGCCACCAUGAGUAUCAGUCUAGGCUAAUCUUUGGGGGGAUGAGGGACACAACUCUUUAAGGAAUAGGACCUGAACUACAAAAUUCUAGAUAUUUCAUUUUGAAAAGUGUUGGGGAUAGAAUCAGGAGAAUGAUCCAACUAACUGCAUCUAUAAGUGAUACAGGUUGGAAAGAAGCAGAAGACUAUGAAUAAGAAGCAAGACCAAUGGACCAGAAGCAUCAAUGACACUGAAAACAAGAGCCCCUAAUAAUGAGGUGACGAGAGCAAGAAGAUUGAGAUUAGGGAGGACUACGGAAUGUCUGCCUCUCCUGCUUCCUAGGCUCAGCCGCUGCCAUGUCUGUGGGAAUGAAGAAGACCAAGAGGCCUCCCACUCCUGAAAGCCUUUUCGGAAGAGCAUCCAGCUUGUCGAUGAAGCUUCCUCCACAAUGUACCUUCAUCUUUACAGACCUCACCUCCCAACAUCACUGCCUUGG
Molecule: long non-coding RNA, 671 nt
Organism: Peromyscus eremicus (cactus mouse)
Lineage: Eukaryota; Metazoa; Chordata; Mammalia; Rodentia; Cricetidae
Exons: 2
Source: RefSeq, a predicted model, not a curated record